RNAcentral lists this long non-coding RNA (643 nucleotides) under Olea europaea subsp. europaea. The record is from RNAcentral. Lineage: Eukaryota; Viridiplantae; Streptophyta; Magnoliopsida; Lamiales; Oleaceae.
ACACGUGAUACUUUUAUUCAUUAUUUUCUCCGAUCGUAUUCUGUGUGGUGGGGUGGGAGCACCUACAACCCCCCAAAUGUGAGAAGUUGAUAACAAGUCCUUUUCUAGUCGGGUAGGCAAGGGGACAAACAGAAAUUUCUGCAUUCACUGCGCAUUCCUAUCUACAUAGCUUUUCCUUCCUUCCCUUGUGAAAACCAGAAAAAAACUUCAGAAUUCUUCAUUCCACAGCCCAAAAAAAAAAAAAAAAAAAAAAAAAAAAACCAGGUUCUUAUAAUCUCAAUAACACACUGCAACUGCAGCAUGACACCGAGUUCGAUUUUUCUCUCCAAGAAGUUCAAAACACCGAUCGACACAGUGUCAUUGUUCGAAGCAUAUCAGGGAGCAUUGGGCACGCCUUUACAUCAUAUGGAGAUGUACAGUUUUGCUUCUCUGCUCGCAUAGUCGAUCCUCAAAUAGAGCCCUAGACCUGUUUUAAUACAUAGCAUUGGACAGCACGUACAGACAAUAUUUUGACAUAAACACUAGGCUACACAUAUAUGAAAAGAGGUUUCCUUCAGGUAAUCUGAAAGUUAGACAUUCAUACAGUUAACCUUUGUACAGUUUAGAUUUUUUGAAGUUUUUUAGUAUAACUGUAAAAGCAAAC